GUUGCUGUUGAUCGUUGAGCUCUGAUUUUUAUCAUUGCAAGUUAUCUUCUCCCUUUCCUGGCAUAUCAAUCUGUUGCGGCCAACUCCCUCAUCGUCUAUCGUCGGGAAUGAGAACCUGCAAAAUAACAUCCACACUGACCGGAGUUAUCUCCGACGGAGACCCUCCGAUGCUUAAGUCAAAGAGGGAGACUGGAUAACAGUAUUUUUGAAUGAGAAAGGUGGCAGAGUUAAGCUUGAAAGUGGCUUACCGAUGCUGUUGCCUUACCUCCUUUUUAUAGAGAAGAUAGUUGUAACCGUUAGAUAUGGUCCUACAUUUUAUGGCACUAAUCAUCGAGCCAUAAUCACGUAGUGGAUCGUUAACUCCCACUGAUCGCAUCGUGAUAUGCGGCCGGUGACCGUUCGUGACAGUUAUGGUAUAUUUGGAUUGACUGGCC
RNAcentral lists this long non-coding RNA (434 nucleotides) under Elaeis guineensis (African oil palm). RNAcentral describes it as "long non-coding RNA (EGUI_LNC074797)". Lineage: Eukaryota; Viridiplantae; Streptophyta; Magnoliopsida; Arecales; Arecaceae. The record is from RNAcentral.